This 1509-nucleotide ribosomal RNA is filed under the name Enterobacter sp. NA11013. RNAcentral describes it as "bacterial SSU rRNA". It matches the Rfam family "Bacterial small subunit ribosomal RNA". Lineage: Bacteria; Pseudomonadati; Pseudomonadota; Gammaproteobacteria; Enterobacterales; Enterobacteriaceae. The record is from RNAcentral.
GGCUCAGAUUGAACGCUGGCGGCAGGCCUAACACAUGCAAGUCGAGCGGUAGCACAGAGAGCUUGCUCUCGGGUGACGAGCGGCGGACGGGUGAGUAAUGUCUGGGAAACUGCCUGAUGGAGGGGGAUAACUACUGGAAACGGUAGCUAAUACCGCAUAACGUCGCAAGACCAAAGUGGGGGACCUUCGGGCCUCAUGCCAUCAGAUGUGCCCAGAUGGGAUUAGCUAGUAGGUGGGGUAAUGGCUCACCUAGGCGACGAUCCCUAGCUGGUCUGAGAGGAUGACCAGCCACACUGGAACUGAGACACGGUCCAGACUCCUACGGGAGGCAGCAGUGGGGAAUAUUGCACAAUGGGCGCAAGCCUGAUGCAGCCAUGCCGCGUGUAUGAAGAAGGCCUUCGGGUUGUAAAGUACUUUCAGCGAGGAGGAAGGCAUUAAGGUUAAUAACCUUGGUGAUUGACGUUACUCGCAGAAGAAGCACCGGCUAACUCCGUGCCAGCAGCCGCGGUAAUACGGAGGGUGCAAGCGUUAAUCGGAAUUACUGGGCGUAAAGCGCACGCAGGCGGUCUGUCAAGUCGGAUGUGAAAUCCCCGGGCUCAACCUGGGAACUGCAUUCGAAACUGGCAGGCUAGAGUCUUGUAGAGGGGGGUAGAAUUCCAGGUGUAGCGGUGAAAUGCGUAGAGAUCUGGAGGAAUACCGGUGGCGAAGGCGGCCCCCUGGACAAAGACUGACGCUCAGGUGCGAAAGCGUGGGGAGCAAACAGGAUUAGAUACCCUGGUAGUCCACGCCGUAAACGAUGUCGACUUGGAGGUUGUGCCCUUGAGGCGUGGCUUCCGGAGCUAACGCGUUAAGUCGACCGCCUGGGGAGUACGGCCGCAAGGUUAAAACUCAAAUGAAUUGACGGGGGCCCGCACAAGCGGUGGAGCAUGUGGUUUAAUUCGAUGCAACGCGAAGAACCUUACCUACUCUUGACAUCCAGAGAACUUAGCAGAGAUGCUUUGGUGCCUUCGGGAACUCUGAGACAGGUGCUGCAUGGCUGUCGUCAGCUCGUGUUGUGAAAUGUUGGGUUAAGUCCCGCAACGAGCGCAACCCUUAUCCUUUGUUGCCAGCGGUUCGGCCGGGAACUCAAAGGAGACUGCCAGUGAUAAACUGGAGGAAGGUGGGGAUGACGUCAAGUCAUCAUGGCCCUUACGAGUAGGGCUACACACGUGCUACAAUGGCAUAUACAAAGAGAAGCGACCUCGCGAGAGCAAGCGGACCUCAUAAAGUAUGUCGUAGUCCGGAUUGGAGUCUGCAACUCGACUCCAUGAAGUCGGAAUCGCUAGUAAUCGUAGAUCAGAAUGCUACGGUGAAUACGUUCCCGGGCCUUGUACACACCGCCCGUCACACCAUGGGAGUGGGUUGCAAAAGAAGUAGGUAGCUUAACCUUCGGGAGGGCGCUUACCACUUUGUGAUUCAUGACUGGGGUGAAGUCGUAACAAGGUAACCGUAGGGGAACCUGCGGCUGGA